AUGUUGGCCAGGCUGGUCUCGAACUCCUGACCUCAAAUGAUCUGCUCACCUUGGCCUCCCAAGGUGCUGGGAUUACAGGUGUGAGCCACCAUGCCCGGCCUGAACUCUUCUAAUUCCUUUAAAUCCAAUUAAGUCAAAUGUUUGGGAACCAGAUUGAGUUUACAUGUUUGAAAUUCUUAUUUCACAGUGAUCUCUAUACAUUCAUGCCUUCUAGCAUUCUAAUGUCUUCCAGCAACCCAUUUUUAACGCUGUUUAAAAUACUGGAUAAAACAACUAAAGGACAUUAUUGAGACAGUUGGGGAAAUUUGAAUGCUGACUGUAUUAAAUAAUAGUAUUGUGUCAGUGUUAACAUUCCCAAAGGUGAUAGUUGUAGUCAUGCAGGAGAAUGCCCUUGUUCUUAGGCAGAUAUAUGCCAAAGUGUUUAGGGAUGAAGUAUUAUGAUGUCUGCAACUAAUUUGCACAUAGUUCAGCAAAAGAAAGAAGGAGGGAAGAAGGAAGAGAGGAAGGAAAGAAAUUAACAGUGGUAAAUUUGAUUGUUCAUUGAACUGUUGCAACUUUUCUGAAGGUUUGUAAUUUUUCAAAAUAAAAUUUUAAAAUUGUGUAUAAAAAUGCUUUAAAGUUCAGAAGGUCAAGGGUUUUCUCUUGGGGAAGGUUUUUUAGUAAUACAGGUGAACAGAGAAAUCGUUUAUGAUAUAAUUAAAUAGUCCUACUACAACAGCUUAGGAAUACAAUUUGCAUUCUCUUGGAAUAUCUCACUGCAGAAACUAUUGCUGCCUGAUGUGGAAAAAUAAAGGGAACACCUUUAUUUAUUUUCUGCCCUCAAAUUUGAUAGUACUUAACAAUGUGAGCUUUAAUUACUUCCAUAAAAUUUGGUUUCUGUUGCUUUACUGGCAUAAGCUUUCAGAAUCCCUAACCAAAGCCUGAGAUGUCUUCUGAAGGCAGUCAUAUCUUUUUAGUAAUAAUAGCAUAUCUUUUUUUGCUUUAGGAAGUAUUUAAAAGGUAAUUAUCGGCUGGGCACGGUGGCUCACGCCUGUAAUCCCAGCACUUUGGGAGGCCGAGGCGGGCAGAUCACCUGAGGUCAGGAGUUUUGAGACCAGCCUGGCCAACACGGUGAA
This 1115-nucleotide long non-coding RNA is filed under the name Homo sapiens (human). RNAcentral describes it as "HSALNT0301292". The record is from RNAcentral. Lineage: Eukaryota; Metazoa; Chordata; Mammalia; Primates; Hominidae.